Molecule: microRNA precursor, 201 nt
Filed under: Oryza brachyantha (malo sina)
Lineage: Eukaryota; Viridiplantae; Streptophyta; Magnoliopsida; Poales; Poaceae
Description: MIR812 microRNA precursor family
Rfam family: MIR812 microRNA precursor family (bases 24-201)
Source: Rfam by way of RNAcentral
UACAACCUCUGUCCUAAAAUAAACGUUCAAUCUUUGACUCUUCGUCUUAUUUGAAAAAAUUUUAUGAUUGAUAUUUUAUUGUUACUACAUGAUAAAGCAUGAAUAGUAUUUUACAUGUGACUAAUUCUUUUAAUUUUUUAAUAAUUUUAAAUAAGACAGAUGAUCAAACGCUCGAACUACAACACCAGAAAUGCUUUUUUU